UUCGGUGGUUACAGCGAGGAGGAAACACCCGUUCCCAUCCCGAACACGGAAGUUAAGCUCUUCAGCGCCGAUGGUACUGCAUGGUAAAAUGUGGGAGAGUAGGACGCCGCCGGAA
This 115-nucleotide ribosomal RNA is filed under the name Deltaproteobacteria bacterium. The record is from RNAcentral. Lineage: Bacteria; Pseudomonadati; Myxococcota; Myxococcia.